UUACAAUACAACCUGAUAAGU
Molecule: microRNA, 21 nt
Filed under: Bos taurus (domestic cattle)
Lineage: Eukaryota; Metazoa; Chordata; Mammalia; Artiodactyla; Bovidae
Description: bta-miR-374c
Gene: bta-miR-374c
Source: miRBase by way of RNAcentral